This is a non-coding RNA of Vicia faba (fava bean), 335 nucleotides long. The record is from the annotation of a GenBank genome assembly. NCBI's taxonomy places the organism in Eukaryota, Viridiplantae, Streptophyta, Magnoliopsida, Fabales, Fabaceae.
UGAUGGUUAAUGUACCUAAUGACUUUCCUGACAAGGUGAAUGUGGGAGUGCGUCUAGAAGAAGAUGUUGGGAAGGGAUGUUCAUAUGAAGAUGGUAGCUCAGCUAAUGGCGUGAAGAAGUUUGAUAAUAACUUUUCCAAGAGGAGAAUCAGAGGAAGAAAUAAUCAUCAUCAGAAUCAUCAUGUUUCUCCUAUUCAUCAACAGAAUCAGCAAGUUCUUAAUCAGAGGAAAACCCAGUUUGAUCCAAUUCCAAUUACUUAUACAAAGUUGUUCCCUAUCCUGAUGCAGAGGAAUUUGGUUCAGACCCGACCUCCAUCGAAGGUUCCUGAGAAGAUA